CCCCGCGCCCGCGCGCCGCCGCGGCCGCCGUGUCCACGCGCGGCUUUGUCAAUAAAGUUCGCGCGCGCCGGAAGCGGAAGUGGCGAGUCUCCAUGGCGGCGGCGGCGGGGCCGGUGCUCUGGAGGCGGCUGCUGGGCCUCCUUCCGGGCCGCGCCGGGCUGGCUGCGCUCUUGGGGCGCCUGUCCGACCGCCUGGGCAGGAACCGGGACCGCCGGCGCAGGAGGUCACCAUGGCUGCUGCUGGCUCCCUUGCUGUCCCCAACUGUUCCCCAGGUCACGUCCCCACCCUGUUGCCUAUGUCCAGAGGGCGUGCACAGGUUCCAGUGGAUUCGAAACCUGGUCCCAGAGUUUGGCAUCUCCAGUUCUCAUGUCAAAGUCCUCUCUUCCCCAGCAGAGUUUUUUGAGCUCAUGAAGGGGCAGAUAAAACUCGCCAAGAGGCGAGUUGUGAUGGCAUCCCUCUACCUGGGGACAGGGCCUUUGGAGCAGGAACUGGUGGAUUGCCUGGAAAGCUCUCUAGAAAAGUCACUCCAAGCAAAGUUUCCUUCAGACCUCAAGGUCUCUAUUCUCUUAGACUUCACACGGGGCUCAAGAGGCAGGAAGAACUCCCGCACGAUGCUCCUGCCGCUGGCACAGAGGUUUCCAGCCCAGGUCCGAGUCUCCCUCUUCCACACUCCAGACCUCCGGGGACUGCUCCGUCUCCUCAUCCCCGAGCGCUUCAAUGAGACCAUCGGCCUCCAGCACAUCAAAGUGUAUCUCUUUGACAACAGUGUCAUCUUGAGCGGUGCAAACCUGAGUGACUCCUACUUCACCAACCGCCAGGACCGCUACGUGUUCUUGCAGGACUGCCCGGAGGUGGCCGACUUCUUCACAGAGCUGGUGGAUGCGCUGGGGGAUGUAUCCCUGCAGUUGCGGGGGGACAACACGGUGCAGGUGGUGGAGGGGAUGGUGCAUCCCUACAAAGGCAACCGGGCUGCGUAUUGCCAGGCGGUCAAAAAGAGGGUUAUGGAUGUGAUCAACUCGGCCAGGACCCGCCAGCAGGUGCUGCACGCCCAGACCUUCCACAGCAACUCCCUCUUGACCCAGGAGGACGCGGCAGCCGCUGGCGACCAGAGACCUGCCCCCGACACCUGGAUUUACCCCUUGAUCCAGAUGAAGCCCUUUGAGAUUCAGAUAGAUGAGAUCGUCACUGAGACCCUGCUGACGGAGGCGGAGCGAGGCGCCAAGGUCUACCUCACCACCGGCUACUUCAACCUGACCCAGGCCUACAUGGACCUGGUCCUGGGCACCCGGGCCGAGUACCAGAUCCUGCUGGCCUCCCCGGAGGUGAACGGCUUCUUUGGGGCCAAGGGGGUGGCGGGUGCCAUCCCAGCGGCCUACGUCCACAUCGAGCGGCAGUUCUACGGCGAGGUGUGCAGCCUGGGGCAGCAGGAGCGCGUGCGGCUGCAGGAGUACCGGCGGAGGGGCUGGACCUUCCACGCCAAAGGCCUCUGGCUGUACCUGGCAGGGAGCAGCCUGCCCUGCCUCACGUUGAUUGGCUCUCCUAAUUUUGGGUACAGGUCAGUUCACCGGGACCUGGAGGCCCAGAUUGCAAUCGUGACAGAAAACCGCACUUUGCAGCAGCAGCUUCACCAGGCUUUGAUCCCUGUUGCCAGAUGGCCCUUGGGAGAGCUGAGCCUGCCCCCCUUCCUGGCAGCUGUGCGCCAGAGUGCCUGUUUCCUAAGCCUUCAUCACUUGAGCAAGAGCAGCUCUACCUGAGGUCAGGUGCAGUGUCCUCAGCUACCUUUGACCAGCCAAGUCGGCAGGUGAAGCUGUGGGUGAAGAUGGUGACUCCACUGAUUAAGAACUUCUUCUGAGGACAGACAGGGCACCUUUAAAACAUGUCUGUGUGCUUAUCAAAGGCUAAGCCCCCCACGCUGUGUCUACGGAAGCCAGUCACAAAAACCUCCUUGCUCAGACUUUACAUCUUCAAGUGCUUGAACCUUGCACAGAAAAAGAGGCCUUUCCAGAGAAAAGGCUUCUUGGCCCAGGGCAUGGCAACUUUGGAGACUGGAGUUUGGAUUCCAUCCCAGCGUUUUGUCUCUGGAAGCAACUUCCCACCUCUGCCCCCGAGGGCUGAGAGCCCUCACUGCAGCCAUCCCGUGGGGGCCGCCGGCCUGGCCACAGCAGCUUCUGUGUGCAUGUGGGGGCUCUUGGUCUUGGACCAAAGCCAGCUGCAGCACCCCCACCCAGGGCCCGGGCCGAUACUGCGCCUUCAGACAAGCAGCUGGGAGUGGGGUAGAGACGGAGCCCAGGCCUCACCGCCUGGGGGCAGCGCACAUCAGUUAACACUACAAACUAGUUAUUAAAUUGUUCUGCAGGACAAUUAAACUAGAGAAGCCAAAGGAAUGUGCAGGGGCCCUGGGUUUCUGUUUGGAGAGAGGCUUUCGGUAAACAGCAUUAACAUUCCCACAGCUUCCCUGGGACCAGAGUAAACACCGCAGCCACAGUAGGGCUUGAGCAACCGCAGGGCUGGGCCCUGCUCAGGCUGCAACCCUGACUUCAUCCCUUGUUCUCUGCUAAUGAGCGUCAAAAGGUGGCCCUGGGCAGGUCCUCCCGCUCCGCGGCCCACCAGGAGCUCUCCAGAACCGAGGCUCCCGAGCCUUUAAAUCAGAGACGAGAGGCAGCAACGGAACGCUCCAUCCUCCAGGCACCUACAUUACAAAAUGUUUUUUGUCCCAUUCCCUGUUUUUGAAUCACAUGUUGGAAAGUUUGGAGAUAUUUUGUCAGCUAGCUACAGUAUGUACGUGUGGGAUAAGUUCCUGUUUUAUUUCAGGCUUUAAAGACAAAACUGGGAAAACUUCACGUUCUGUGGUUAUUUUCUGGUGGCCACUGGCAGCUUGAGCUCCUUGCGGGGCUUGGACUUGAAGGGCUGCAGUGACCCCUCCUGGCCACCCUGCUUGCCUGGCCGCCGCCCCAGAGGGAUGGACCCUCAGCCCCUGCGGGGAGGAUUCAGGGGCUUCUUGUCCCGCUCACCAGCCCCACCGGGCCCAGGGCUGUUGGGGAUUCUCACCCUCAAGAGUCAGGGACCGCUUGUUCACCCACGGUUAGGAAGGGUGAAUGUACUUGGAAAAAUGUUUUCUUAAAACUUCAGGAUUGGGUUUCACUCAGAACGGGGCCAGGUGUUCCUAGAGGAUCCCUUCUUGUGUCUAAGUCUAAAGACAGGGUGGCAGGGCACCUUUCCCUCUGGAGUCCAUCCCACCUGCAGGUUAGAGACCGUCCUAGCUGCCUCCCUGGCCUCCGGACUUUCAGUUAAUCUCCUUUUGCCUGCACCACAGUGCCCGGCCCAGCCUCAGCCGGCAGCCGGGCCCUCGUGCAUGGUCCUGCCGCAGGACGCCCGGCAGUGCUGGGGCUCGGGUUUGCUGUCUCACUUUUGCUGACCUUGUCCUGAUGGUGGAUGUAGACACCCGCCUGCUGGGCUGAGGGCUGCGCUGUGAGCCGGGUCUGUCUCAGGGCUGGCCCGACUGCUGUCCCUGCAGGCUCUGGGGCAGGAGCCGGGCAAGGGGCACUGCCUCCUGCUGCUCCAGCGGGACCUGACGUGGCCUUUCCUCCCUCUGGACUGGCUUAGGGCAGUUUUUAAAAUUGUUCUACCGAUUCCUGAAACACAGGUAGACCAAAGGCCCGUCCAGGGCAGCGGGGCACUUGGCCCUCCCUUGCCUCGGAGCUGGGUGGGGAAUGCUGAGCAGCUGAGCCCCGGGCCCGGUGCCUCGCCCUGCAUCGUUUGGCGCCUUGCCUUCUGUUCCAGCAGUGCCAUGACCCCUUUCCCGAGCUCACCUCAGGCCUGCGGAACCCUAUGGCUGUAGGAAGUGACCUGACAUGGGGUAGGGGAGGCGGACAAAGGAAAGGGAGACCGCUGCCGCAGGACCCAGGGGCCGUGGGCUUGGCUAAAGACACCCCAGACUCCUGGGGCCUGAGCCCACAUUGGGGUGUCCCUGGACCCACGCUCUUCAUGUCAUGCUCUUGGACAUGUCCUGCUGUGGGGGGCAGUGGGUGAGGGAGGUGCCGCCCCAGAAGUAGCCCCUAUGCGGGAGGGUCUGUGGUAGGGUCGCUCUUCAAAAUUCGAGUGGGCCUGGGGGGAUUAAGAAAGGUUCUUUUGUCCUUGGAGGAGGGAACCUGCCUUAGGAUUCUGUGGAGGCGGCAGCUUCUGUUUCUUUGCCCUCGUUGGGGCAUCAUUUGUGUGUAGCCUCAGCCCAAGGGUAACCCGGCCCAACCUUCUGGGAAGCCAGGCUUUGAGGGUUGAGUCCUCACUGCCAAGCCUGUUCGGGCCCCACGGUGGCCAUCGGACGCAGAGUGAAGGCAGAGGCACGUGCAGUCAGAGGGACGUAACGAAACGCCUGCCAUUGUUUUAAUCUGCUGCCCUCCUGUGCCGCCCACUGCCCCCUGGAUAGUCCCAGUAUGCUUUGGCAUAAAGUGACUCAAUUAUCGGGGAGGAUGAAAGGUGACCCACCAGAGACCAGAGCCGGGCCGAGCUUCCAACUGGAAGUUGGAGAUGGGCCCAGGGGAGCUAGACCUGCAGGAGCAGCGCCACGCCCGCCAGCACCCACUUGGCUGCCUUCUCCUUGGUCCUCAGGUUGAAGGUCCAGACGUAGGUGGGCCCGCGGAUGCGGGUCUUGUAGACGGGGCACUCAUACACGUUCUUGGUCUCCAUGCGAUCCACAGGGAUGGCCUUGAUGAAGAUGACGGGCAUGGCCGGCGUCAGCUCCUUCAGCCGUGCCUCAGCAAUGACUCCCGUCUGCAUGUCCCAGCGGGCUCCUGCGAGACAGCGGCCUCGGGUCAGGGCGGCCGGUUCCUGGCUGGGGUGCCCCGUGGGAAGACAGGGCUGCAGGGACUGGCCGGGGCCCACAGACCCCAGCCUCAGCCCACCCCCCACCCCCUGAGCCCUGGCCUGGUGCCACGAGUCACUUGAAAUGGAGUUAAACGGAGGGCUCUGAGGGCAGUUGAGCACCUGCUGCGUGCCGAGAGCCGCUCAGCUCCAGAGCGCUCAGGUCCCUCUGUUUAAACCUGGCAUUUUCAGAGCCUCGUCCACCAUACUCCUUAAUUUCUGUGGCAGCAAGUCAUAAGUCCAGUUGAAAAUACCAGGCGAUUACAGUUCCCCGACUCCCUACACUGCGUGUUAUUGUGCGGUAUAAAUGACUCUAUGUAUGUAUGCAUAAAUAAAUAUUUGCCUUUAACCAGACCACUCAUUUUCUGCUCACCUUUUUUAACGUUUCUAUUUCCCAUUGCUAAUUCCAAAAUAAACAUGGAGAAUGGC
This is an RNA transcript of Choloepus didactylus (southern two-toed sloth), 5286 nucleotides long. It is a transcript of the gene named phosphatidylglycerophosphate synthase 1, with no coding region annotated. The transcript has 11 exons. NCBI's taxonomy places the organism in Eukaryota, Metazoa, Chordata, Mammalia, Pilosa, Megalonychidae. The record is from RefSeq and is a predicted model, not a curated record.